This 702-nucleotide ribosomal RNA is filed under the name Streptomyces sp. RNAcentral describes it as "bacterial SSU rRNA". It matches the Rfam family "Bacterial small subunit ribosomal RNA", at positions 53 to 771 of the family's 1533-position model. The record is from RNAcentral. Lineage: Bacteria; Bacillati; Actinomycetota; Actinomycetes; Kitasatosporales; Streptomycetaceae.
ACAUGCAGUCGAACGAUGAACGCAUUUCGGUGGGGAUUAGUGGCGAACGGGUGAGUAACACGUGGGCAAUCUGCCCUGCACUCUGGGACAAGCCCUGGAAACGGGGUCUAAUACCGGAUACUGACCCUCGCAGGCAUCUGCGAGGUUCGAAAGCUCCGGCGGUGCAGGAUGAGCCCGCGGCCUAUCAGCUUGUUGGUGAGGUAAUGGCUCACCAAGGCGACGACGGGUAGCCGGCCUGAGAGGGCGACCGGCCACACUGGGACUGAAACACGGCCCAAACUCCUACGGGAGGCAGCAGUGGGGAAUAUUGCACAAUGGGCGAAAGCCUGAUGCAGCGACGCCGCGUGAGGGAUGACGGCCUUCGGGUUGUAAACCUCUUUCAGCAGGGAAGAAGCGAAAGUGACGGUACCUGCAGAAGAAGCGCCGGCUAACUACGUGCCAGCAGCCGCGGUAAUACGUAGGGCGCAAGCGUUGUCCGGAAUUAUUGGGCGUAAAGAGCUCGUAGGCGGCUUGUCGCGUCGGUUGUGAAAGCCCGGGGCUUAACCCCGGGUCUGCAGUCGAUACGGGCAGGCUAGAGUUCGGUAGGGGAGAUCGGAAUUCCUGGUGUAGCGGUGAAAUGCGCAGAUAUCAGGAGGAACACCGGUGGCGAAGGCGGAUCUCUGGGCCGAUACUGACGCUGAGGAGCGAAAGCGUGGGGAGCGA